AAGGAUCAUUAUCGAGUUUUGAACGGGUUGUCUGCUGGCUCGCAAGGGCAUGUGCACGCCUGUCUCAUCCACUCUCAACUUCUGUGCACUUUUCAUAGGCCGGCUUGUGGGUGCGUUCGCGCACUUGUAGGUGUCGGGCUUAUGCUUUACUACAAACGAUUCAGUUUUAGAAUGUCAUACUUUGCUAUAACGCAAUUUAUAUACAACUUUCAGCAACGGAUCUCUUGGCUCUCGCAUCGAUGAAGAACGCAGCGAAAUGCGAUAAGUAAUGUGAAUUGCAGAAUUCAGUGAAUCAUCGAAUCUUUGAACGCACCUUGCGCUCCUUGGUAUUCCGAGGAGCAUGCCUGUUUGAGUCUCAUGGAAUUCUCAACCUUCGGCUUUAUUGACGAAGGCUUGGACUUGGAGGUCGUGCCGGCUCUCGUAGUCGGCUCCUCUGAAAUGCAUUAGUGCGAACGUUACCAGCCGCUUCAGCGUGAUAAUUAUCUGCGUUGCUGUGGAGGGUAUUCUAGUGUUCGCGCUUCUAAC
Molecule: ribosomal RNA, 525 nt
Filed under: Bjerkandera adusta
Lineage: Eukaryota; Fungi; Basidiomycota; Agaricomycetes; Polyporales; Phanerochaetaceae
Description: eukaryotic LSU rRNA
Rfam family: 5.8S ribosomal RNA (bases 205-358)
Source: RNAcentral